GCUUGAGCACGUAGGUGGGUUUGUAAGUCAGAUGUGAAAGCCUUCUGUUCAACGGAAGAAUUGCAUCUGAAACUGCAAGUCUUGAGUGUAGGAGGGGAGAAUGGAACUUCUGGUGGAGCGGUGAAAUGCGUAGAUAUCAGAAGGAACGCCGGCGGCGAAAGCGAUUCUCUGGCCUAUUACUGACACUCAGUGUGCGGAAGCUAGGGGAGCAAACGGGAUUAGAUACCCCGGUAGUCCUAGCCGUAAACGAUGGGCACUAAGUAGAGGGAAUUACCGAUGUUCUCUCUGCCGUAGCUAACGCAUUAAGUGCCCCGCCUGGGGAGUACGGCCGCAAGGCUAAAACUCAAAAGAAUUGACGGGGGCUCGCACAAGCGGUGGAGCAUGUGGCUUAAUUCGAUGCAACGCGAAAAACCUUACCGGGGCUUGACAUGGUAGAAGUAGGAACCCGAAAGGGUAACGAACGGUAUCCAGUCCGUAGCUAUUACAGGUGUUGCAUGGCUGUCGUCAGCUCGUGUCGUGAGACGUUGGGUUAAGUCCCCUAACGAGCGAAACCCUUAUUUUUAGUUACCAGCGGGUUGUGCCGGGUACUCUAGAAAGACUGCCGUCGUCAAGACGGAGGAAGGUGGGGAUGACGUCAAGUCAUCAUGGCCCUUAUGCCCCGGGCUGCACACGUGCUACAAUGGUCGGUACAAACGGAUGCGAAGCCGAGAGGUGAAGCGAAUCCAAGC
This 728-nucleotide ribosomal RNA is filed under the name uncultured Planctomycetota bacterium. RNAcentral describes it as "bacterial SSU rRNA". It matches the Rfam family "Bacterial small subunit ribosomal RNA", at positions 558 to 1278 of the family's 1533-position model. Lineage: Bacteria; Pseudomonadati; Planctomycetota. The record is from RNAcentral.